Molecule: unclassified non-coding RNA, 1025 nt
Filed under: Hevea brasiliensis (rubber tree)
Lineage: Eukaryota; Viridiplantae; Streptophyta; Magnoliopsida; Malpighiales; Euphorbiaceae
Source: RNAcentral
AAAAAAAAAAAAAAAAAGCAGAGGAAGAAGAAUGAUGUGGGGUGGGGGCAUACUUGGGUGGGGCUGGAAUCAUCAUCAACAUGUUUUUCUCAUGCAGCUUCUUUCUUAUAGUGUAGGUGCCAUCUGAACUGAACUCCUUUUCCUAGUUUGUAGUCUAAUUUUCCUCAUGCUGUUGGCUAGAAGGGAUUUUCAGAUUUUAUUGCCCAAGGUUAUUUUGCUUAUUUAGUUUUCCCUACAUAUGUAAUUAUUUAUAUUAUAAAUAUCAUGAUAUCCAACAAAUUUAAUGAGUCAGGGAAAAAGAACUUGAAGCAUGGGAGAAAGAAUAUGCGAUAUCAAGAAUCUUUAAAUUGAAAGCAGAGUUUGUUGUGAUAUUAGGACUGAAAGAAAAGUUUGAUUAGUUAUCAAGAGUUGUUAAAGAUUUAAGGCAAGUACAAAAAUGCUGUUUGAAUCAGAAAAGCAAUUUGAAGAUGAAGAACAAGAACUAUUGGAAGCUAAAAUUGAAAAACUUGAAGUUUUGGUUGUUGAAUAUUCACAUGUUGAAGAACUAGUUCCAGAAAUGCAUGUUGAAGACCUUGUUCUGGGAAAAGAAGUUGAGGAAGCUGAACAAGAAAAGGUUAUGAAAACUAGCCUCGAAAUUGAAGAAAAUCAAGCUAGGGAGGCGACAAAGAAGAUUGAACAUUUUUCAAAUUCUUUCAUUCCUAGUGAAUCAAAGGGCCUUCCAGCUAUUGUUUUGAUUGAUUUUCUAUGUUCAGACAUUUCCAAGGAUGCAAAUAGUGCAUGAAAUUCUUCUUCUCAAUCUCAUUUCUAACAUAAAAAAUGAUAAAGUUCUUUAUUCUUCAAAUCCAGUGCUUGAUUUUCCAAUUAUAAUACUCGAGGUCGAGUUUUCUUCAACUAUAGGAGAAUGAUGCAGUAUUAGAAGACGACUAAAUUUAGGAAUUAUAUUCGUUGUAGAAUUAGAAAGUUUAGAGUUCUAUUAAUAAGGAAUUCUAUUAGGUUUAUUAUUAUUUUCCUAAUUUAAGUUUGUU